RNAcentral lists this ribosomal RNA (492 nucleotides) under uncultured bacterium. RNAcentral's name for it is "partial 16S ribosomal RNA". It matches the Rfam family "Bacterial small subunit ribosomal RNA", at positions 29 to 507 of the family's 1533-position model. The record is from RNAcentral.
AGUGAACGCUGGCGGUAGGCCUAACACAUGCAAGUCGAACGGCAGCACAGUAAGAGCUUGCUCUUACGGGUGGCGAGUGGCGGACGUGUGAGGAAUACAUCGGAAUCUACUUUUUCGUGGGGGAUAACGUAGGGAAACUUACGCUAAUACCGCAUACGACCUACGGGUGAAAGCAUGGGAUCUUCGGACCUUGCGCGAUUGAAUGAGCCGAUGUCGGAUUAGCUAGUUGGCGGGGUAAAGGCCCACCAAGGCGACGAUCCGUAGCUGGUCUGAGAGGAUGAUCAGCCACACUGGAACUGAGACACGGUCCAGACUCCUAAGGGAGGCAGCAGUGGGGAAUAUUGGACAAUGGGCGCAAGCCUGAUCCAGCCAUACCGCGUGGGUGAAGAAGGCCUUCGGGUUGUAAAGACCUUUUGUUGGGAAAGAAAAGCAGCAGGUUAAUACCCCGCUGUUCUGACGGUACCCAAAGAAUAAGCACCGGCUAACUUCGUG